AGUAGAGUGGCUGAGAAUAAAGGUGAUAGAUUGUAAAUCUAUAAAGGGUUAAAAUCCUUCUACUA
RNAcentral lists this transfer RNA (65 nucleotides) under Arenivaga sp. B097. RNAcentral describes it as "tRNA-Tyr". It matches the Rfam family "tRNA". From Rfam's summary of the family: Transfer RNA (tRNA) molecules are approximately 80 nucleotides in length. Their secondary structure includes four short double-helical elements and three loops (D, anti-codon, and T loops). Further hydrogen bonds mediate the characteristic L-shaped molecular structure. tRNAs have two regions of fundamental functional importance: the anti-codon, which is responsible for specific mRNA codon recognition, and the 3' end, to which the tRNAs corresponding amino acid is attached (by aminoacyl-tRNA synthetases). tRNAs cope with the degeneracy of the genetic code in two manners: having more than one tRNA (with a specific anti-codon) for a particular amino acid; and 'wobble' base-pairing, i.e. permitting non-standard base-pairing at the 3rd anti-codon position. Lineage: Eukaryota; Metazoa; Arthropoda; Insecta; Blattodea; Corydiidae. The record is from RNAcentral.